UCUCUGAGAACAAGACAUUGAAUGGUGAAGUCAGAACAGAAUGUGUUUUCUACACAAACGGCGACGAAAUCGAUUCACUUAUCCCAGACCUCGCCGGCAAACAUGGCGGCCAUUACACCCUUCAGAUGCUGAAGGACCUUCAUUAAACCAACAGAAAGAUAUGGACGUCACAGAUGUAUAAUCCCUCCUGAAUUCCCAGAAGAUUGUGACCCUAUCCGCCACCAUCAGAAGCUUAAUGAGGACAGUUACAGUACUUGCUGACUUAAUUUGGGCAUAUAUGUUUAAUAUAUGAUAUGAUACUUAUAUAUAUUUGCCCGAAUAUUUUUGACACAUGCACAUCAUCACAUGUUCAUAUUCAAUUCUUUCUUCUUUACAAAAGUCCCAGAGACAACAAAUGAAAUGAUUGAACUUCAAUACUCCAUCUAGUUUCGAAUUUAAACAUUAUGUUUAUUAAGCCCAAAAACCUCUUUUGAUUUAUGAACAGAUGAAAAUGUAUAACUGUAAGGGAUUAUCCCAUUUAUAUUAUUUUAUGAUGCGUUUGUAUAUAUAUUAUUCUAUGAAGCAAAUUUGAAUAAAUUUAAAUUAUCGAAAGUUUGUAUCCCAUUUAGUAAUAGUUAACAAAUUUUUAAAUAUUUUAAUUUACAUGCAAAAGACUUCAUCAGUAAUAAUUAUCUUCAAGUUACUUCAUUACUUUUUAGAUUAUCACUUUGUCAGUGUGUAUAUCUGUCUAUAUUAUAUAGGUUCUAAUUUAUUUAACUUAUGAUUAUUUGAAUUUGUACUGUUUCAACUAGAAAUCAGUAAAUGUAUCACAAUAAAAUAUUGUUUGCAAAAAUCUUGACUAGUUAUUUUCUGAAAAAGUUAGCAGGGAUAGUAGGAAUUUAAUCCCAGUAAGGAUAGAUAUUUUUUAGGCAUACCUUAAAUGUACCUCGUAUCAAGGCACAUUUCAGGUAUACCUCAGUCAGAGGUACGAUUUAGGCACAUUUUAGGUAUACGUACCUCAGUCAGAGGUACGAUU
Molecule: long non-coding RNA, 1015 nt
Organism: Mizuhopecten yessoensis (Yesso scallop)
Lineage: Eukaryota; Metazoa; Mollusca; Bivalvia; Pectinida; Pectinidae
Exons: 4
Source: RefSeq, a predicted model, not a curated record